RNAcentral lists this long non-coding RNA (308 nucleotides) under Elaeis guineensis (African oil palm). Its description in RNAcentral is "long non-coding RNA (EGUI_LNC059263)". Lineage: Eukaryota; Viridiplantae; Streptophyta; Magnoliopsida; Arecales; Arecaceae. The record is from RNAcentral.
CGGGGUUUGAUGAGAUAGUUAAAUCAUGGUGGCAAUUUACUCCAAGAUCGGUUGAUGCAGCGAGUAACAUUAUUUAAAAACUCAGAUACUCGAAAUCAAAACUGAAAGAAUGGAAUAAAGAGCAUAAUGAUAACAUUAUACAUAAGAAACACAAAAUAAAAGAAAGGCUGAUAUGGUUAGAUAUAUAGAAAGAGACCAGAAUAGAUGAAUAUUAUACUUAGAUAGAAAGAAAUUUAAUAGAAGCAAAGAUCAAGGGUACAAUAGCUAAAGUAUGGAGACAAAAAUAACAAUUUUUUCACAUUAUAGCA